RNAcentral lists this non-coding RNA (25 nucleotides) under Rattus norvegicus (Norway rat). Lineage: Eukaryota; Metazoa; Chordata; Mammalia; Rodentia; Muridae. The record is from RNAcentral.
AGGUAUGACGUUGAUGAGGCUUCAU